UGUAUGUUCUGGUUCACAACUCUUUUGAGUACUUUAAUCUAUAGAACGCUAUAGGUGAGAGUUGUAGUAUAGGUGUAAGUGUGGUGCUUAGACCUAGAUUACUUGUGGAUAUCCCCUGUCUAGCCGGAUCAUGUGGUAGGCCGCGUAGGUGACAGUUAUGUUGGUCCCCUUUAGUCCACCUCCUGUUAGCAAGACUGGUAGGGUUUAUCGGCCUAUGGAUAAGCAUCCUUUGUGGUGUAUUCUUAUCACGUGGUUCGUCCCAGACAUAGACAUACCCCUUUGAAGUAGAAAAACCAAAGUUAUCCUCUCUAUUCUCCUGCCAUCGCCC
Molecule: long non-coding RNA, 328 nt
Filed under: Sorghum bicolor (sorghum)
Lineage: Eukaryota; Viridiplantae; Streptophyta; Magnoliopsida; Poales; Poaceae
Description: long non-coding RNA (SBIC_LNC000756)
Source: RNAcentral